Molecule: ribosomal RNA, 516 nt
Filed under: uncultured bacterium
Lineage: Bacteria
Description: bacterial SSU rRNA
Rfam family: Bacterial small subunit ribosomal RNA
Source: RNAcentral
AGUGAACGCUAGCGGUGCGCCUAACACAUGCAAGUCGCGCGAGGCCUCGAGCCGAGCGGCGAACGGCUGCGUAACACGUUGGUACCUGCCCCAGAUUCAGGGAUAACCCGGGGAAACUCGGGCUAAUACCGGAUGGUCCCGUAAGGGUAAAGCUUCGGCGAUCUGGGAGGGGCCUGCGGCCUAUCAGCUAGUUGGUAAGGUAACGGCUUACCAAGGCUAUGACGGGUAGCUGGUCUGAGAGGACGACCAGCCAGAAUGGGACUGAGACACGGCCCAUACUCCUACGGGAGGCAGCAGUGAGGAAUCUUCCGCAAUGGGCGAAAGCCUGACGGAGCGACACCGCGUGAAGGAUGAAGCUGGUUUCCAGCGUAAACUUCUGUUCUGAGGGACGAAAUUUUUGACGGUACCUCAGGAGAAAGCACCGGCUAAUCCCGUGCCAGCAGCCGCGGUAAGACGGGAGGUGCAAGCGUUACUCGGAAUUACUGGGCGUAAAGCGUCCGCAGGUGUCCUGCCACG